AACGAACGCUGGCGGCAUGCCUAACACAUGCAAGUCGAACGAGACCUUCGGGUCUAGUGGCGCACGGGUGCGUAACGCGUGGGAACCUGCCCUUAGGUUCGGAAUAACCCCCCGAAAGGGGUGCUAAUCCCGGAUAAUGUCUUCGGACCAAAGAUUUAUCGCCUUUGGAUGGGCCCGCGUUGGAUUAGCUAGGUGGUAGGGUAAAAGCCUACCAAGGCGACGAUCCAUAGCUGGUCUGAGAGGAUGAUCAGCCACACUGGGACUGAGACACGGCCCAGACUCCUACGGGAGGCAGCAGUGGGGAAUAUUGGACAAUGGGCGAAAGCCUGAUCCAGCAAUGCCGCGUGAGUGAUGAAGGCCUUAGGGUUGUAAAGCUCUUUUACCCGGGAUGAUAAUGACAGUACCGGGAGAAUAAGCUCCGGCUAACUCCGUG
Molecule: ribosomal RNA, 433 nt
Filed under: uncultured bacterium
Lineage: Bacteria
Description: partial 16S ribosomal RNA
Rfam family: Bacterial small subunit ribosomal RNA
Source: RNAcentral